Molecule: ribosomal RNA, 253 nt
Filed under: uncultured bacterium
Lineage: Bacteria
Description: partial 16S ribosomal RNA
Rfam family: Bacterial small subunit ribosomal RNA
Source: RNAcentral
UACGUAGGGUCCGAGCGUUGUCCGGAAUUAUUGGGCGUAAAGGGCUCGUAGGCGGUCUGUCGCGUCGGGAGUGAAAUCUUACAGCUUAACUGUGAACUUGCUUUCGAUACGGGCAGACUUGAGGCAUUCAGGGGAGAACGGAAUUCCUGGUGUAGCGGUGAAAUGCGCAGAUAUCAGGAGGAACACCGGUGGCGAAGGCGGUUCUCUGGGACGGUACUGACGCUGAGACGCGAAAGCGUGGGGAGCGAACAGG